RNAcentral lists this ribosomal RNA (254 nucleotides) under uncultured bacterium. Its description in RNAcentral is "partial 16S ribosomal RNA". It matches the Rfam family "Bacterial small subunit ribosomal RNA", at positions 524 to 776 of the family's 1533-position model. The record is from RNAcentral.
GACGAACCGUGCGAACGUUAUUCGGAAUCACUGGGCUUAAAGCGCGUGUAGGCGGAUGGGAACGUCGGCUUCUGAAAGCCCCCGGCUCAACCGGGGAAGUGGGGCCGAAACGACCCGUCUCGAGGGACGUAGGGGGAUCUGGAACUUCCGGUGGAGCGGUGAAAUGCGUUGAGAUCGGAAGGAACGCCCGUGGCGAAAGCGAGAUCCUGGACGUUUUCUGACGCUGAGACGCGAAAGCUAGGGGAGCAAACAGG